Non-coding RNA from Laetiporus sulphureus 93-53, 90 nucleotides. NCBI's taxonomy places the organism in Eukaryota, Fungi, Basidiomycota, Agaricomycetes, Polyporales, Laetiporaceae. The record is from the annotation of a RefSeq genome assembly.
GAACCCGUGGCGCAGCGGUAGCGCGUGAGAUUCCAGAGAAAUGUUCUUCGGAUAUCCUCAAGGUCAUCCGUUCAAUCCGGGUCGGGUUCA